CCUACGGGAGGCAGCAGUAAGGAAUAUUGGACAAUGCUCGCAAGAGUGAUCCAGCCAUGCCGCGUGCAGGAAGAAUGCCCUAUGGGUAGUAAACUGCUUUUGAACUAGAGAAAACCCCAGUACGUGUACUGGGCUGAUAGUAUAGUUAGAAUAAGCAUCGGCUAACUUCGUGCCAGCAGCCGCGGUAAGACGAAGGAUGCAAGCGUUAUCCGGAUUCAUUGGGUUUAAAGGGAGCGUAGGUGGACUUAUAAGUCAGUGGUGAAAUCUCCGAGCUUAACUCGGAAAUUGCCAUUGAUACUGUAGGUCUUGAGUACAGUUGCUGUGGGCGGAAUAUGACAUGUAGUGGUGAAAUACAUAGAGAUGUCAUAGAACACCGAUUGCGAAGGCAGCUCACAAAGCUGUAACUGACACUGAGGCUCGAAAGUGCGGGGAUCAAACAGGAUUAGAUACCCUGGUAGUCCGCACCGUAAACGAUGAUUACUCGCUGCUAGGGGGCAACCUUUAGUGGCUUAGCGAAAGCGAUAAGUAAUCCACCUGGGGAGGACGCCGGCGACGGUACGAAACGUUAAAGGUAAAGUUAGUACGGACGUUGAGACGNGGCCGACGGACGACGACGACGGGAGGUAGG
RNAcentral lists this ribosomal RNA (628 nucleotides) under uncultured bacterium. RNAcentral describes it as "bacterial SSU rRNA". It matches the Rfam family "Bacterial small subunit ribosomal RNA", at positions 338 to 1415 of the family's 1533-position model. The record is from RNAcentral.